Molecule: long non-coding RNA, 582 nt
Filed under: Gallus gallus (chicken)
Lineage: Eukaryota; Metazoa; Chordata; Aves; Galliformes; Phasianidae
Description: lncRNA (ENSGALG00010025596.1)
Source: RNAcentral
GAGAGGUUGUGCGUGCAGUCAAAGCCGUAAACGCAAGCCUUAGCCUGAAAAAAGAAAUAAAUGGACUAAAGCACCAGGGCUGGCUCUGACAGGAAGUGGGGACUCGGGACUUCAAAUACAAACAUUAUGAAAAACAAGCAACAUCUGCAAACAAUGGCGCCUUAAUUUAUAAACAAGUUGGAAAAGCAGAGGGAACAGAAAGGCAGCACCUCCAGGGCAAGCUGCAGCAGCCUUUCAAGGAAGGAAGGGCUGGUCACACCUUCUUUGUUUGCAGGAGAAGGCAGGGCAGCACUGUGCUCACCACAGACUGAAGAGCUGAGUCUCAGAAAGGUCAGGAGACAGUGCUAUGGCAGGAAGCAGAUCAGAGCUGCUGAGAGGCACACUGAGGUGUUCAGCCUUCAGUAUGCAUGGGGAAGGACACUUUCGGGGAUGGCACAAAUAUUUGCCGCUAAGAAGCUAAAGAAAAGCAGUGGAUUAAAGAGCACGGACAGAGCAAAAAACUUUGCUCUUCAUGUCAUUCAAAUUUGUUUACCACCUUUUGCUCUUGGAGGCUUUACUGGCAUUAACAAAAAUCGAAUUGGG